CCAGGAGGAGCAGCCCUUGUGCCACCCAAUAGUAGAAAGGGCAUUAAAAUCUUGUGGACCAGGUGGCACUGCUCAUGUGAAAUUAGUAGUCGAGUGGGACAAGGAGACAAGAGAUUUCUUAUUUGUAAAUACUGAGGAUGAGUAUAUUCCUGAUGCAGAAAGUGUUCGUCUGCAAAGGGAGCGUCAUCAUCAGCCUCAAACCUGCACUUUAUCCCAGUGUUUCCAACUGUACACCAAAGAGGAGCGGCUUGCCCCCGAUGAUGCCUGGCGUUGCCCACACUGUAAGCAGCUGCAGCAGGGAAGCAUUACGUUAAGCCUCUGGACUCUGCCUGAUGUGCUUAUUAUACAUCUAAAGAGAUUUCGGCAGGAAGGAGACAGGCGCAUGAAACUUCAGAACAUGGUCAAAUUCCCCUUGACUGGCCUGGACAUGACACCUCACGUGGUUAAGAGGAGCCAGAGCAGCUGGAGUUUGCCAUCGCAUUGGUCCCCGUGGAGACGGCCCUAUGGACUCGGGAGGGACCCUGAGGACUACAUCUAUGACCUGUAUGCUGUGUGCAAUCACCAUGGCACCAUGCAAGGGGGGCACUACACAGGUCUGCAGUGUGAGAGGCUGCGUGUCUGUGCUGGCGAGUCCUUCAGACGGGUUUGCUUGUGGCAGGGUGACUUGACUUUAGAGCCUCAUUUCCCCUCCGGUAGGCAGUGUGCCAACUGUGAGGGCAGUUUCCAUCCUCUGGAUCUCUGCCCAAGAGCAAAUAAACGAACAUUCUUCCUCCUUUUCCUGAG
Molecule: long non-coding RNA, 783 nt
Filed under: Homo sapiens (human)
Lineage: Eukaryota; Metazoa; Chordata; Mammalia; Primates; Hominidae
Description: non-protein coding lnc-COG7-4:1
Source: RNAcentral